RNAcentral lists this non-coding RNA (26 nucleotides) under Rattus norvegicus (Norway rat). The record is from RNAcentral. Lineage: Eukaryota; Metazoa; Chordata; Mammalia; Rodentia; Muridae.
UAAGAGAGUUCGGUGGUCUCCUCGGA